This 184-nucleotide ribosomal RNA is filed under the name Cryptococcus wingfieldii. Its description in RNAcentral is "partial 26S rRNA". The record is from RNAcentral. Lineage: Eukaryota; Fungi; Basidiomycota; Tremellomycetes; Tremellales; Cryptococcaceae.
CUGGUGUAUUCCUUUAGACGGGUCAACAUCACUUCUGAUCGGUGGAUAAGGGCAUGAGGAAUGUAGCAAUCUUCGGGUUGUGUUAUAGCCUNGUGUCGCAUACACUGGUUGGGACUGAGGAAUGCAGCUCCUUUNUGGCCGGGGUUCGCCCACGUUCGAGCUUAGGAUVUUGACAAAAUGGCUU